The sequence is a ribosomal RNA, 762 nucleotides long. It matches the Rfam family "Bacterial small subunit ribosomal RNA", at positions 366 to 1173 of the family's 1533-position model.
GGUCAAUGGCCUAACGGCUGAACCAGCAAUUUGGAAGUACCGAGUGUAAAAAAAUUAACAAAAAUUUUUUUUUAAAUCACUCACUUAGAUUAUUAUUAUUUUCAAGGGAUAAAGCGAUAAUUUCGCAUAUAAUACUAGAUAAAAAGUAACAAUGACUAUUUUUAUCUAUAAGUCUUGGCCAAAUUACGUGCCAGCAGUCGCGGUAAUACGUAGAAGACUAGUGUUAUUCAUCUUUAAUCGGUUUAAAGGGUACCUAGACGGAAAAUCAAGCCAAUACAAUUGGUACUAAUUUUCUAGAGUUUUAUGAAAGAAUGUCGAAUAAUUAGAGAAGAGAUAAAAUUUUUUGAUACUAGUUAGACGGGUAACAGUGAAGACUACAUUUUAUGUAAAAACUGACGUUGAGGGACGAAGCCUUGGGUAGCAAUAAGGAUUAGAUACCCUAGUAGUCCAAGGAGAAAAUUAUGAGUGUCAUAAACUAGUUUAAAUUAGUUUAUAAAUGAAAGUGUAAGCAUUCCACCUCAUGAGUAAAGCGGCAACGCCGAAAUUGAAAUCAUUAGACCGUGUCUGAAACCAGUAGUGAAGUAUGUUAUUUAAUUCGAUAAUCCGCGAACAACCUUACCACGCUUUGAAUUUUUUUUUUCAACAAGCGUUGCAUGGCUGUCUUAAGUUAAUGUCGUGAGAUUUGGUUCACUCCUUUAAUUAACGAAAUCCCUUGUUUUAAUUUUAUUUUAAGCAGAUUUAGCUACAUAUUGGCUAAAUUUA